UACAGAGGGUGCAAGCGUUAAUCGGAAUUAUUGGGCGUAAAGAGCUCGUAGGCGGUUUGUCGCGUCUGCUGUGAAAACUCGAGGCUCAACCUCGGGCUUGCAGUGGGUACGGGCAGACUAGAGUGCGGUAGGGGUGACUGGAAUUCCUGGUGUAGCGGUGGAAUGCGCAGAUAUCAGGAGGAACACCGAUGGCGAAGGCAGGUCACUGGGCCGCAACUGACGCUGAGGAGCGAAAGCAUGGGGAGCGAACAGG
RNAcentral lists this ribosomal RNA (253 nucleotides) under uncultured bacterium. Its description in RNAcentral is "partial 16S ribosomal RNA". It matches the Rfam family "Bacterial small subunit ribosomal RNA", at positions 524 to 776 of the family's 1533-position model. The record is from RNAcentral.